RNAcentral lists this ribosomal RNA (500 nucleotides) under uncultured bacterium. Its description in RNAcentral is "partial 16S ribosomal RNA". It matches the Rfam family "Bacterial small subunit ribosomal RNA", at positions 30 to 523 of the family's 1533-position model. The record is from RNAcentral.
AUUGAACGCUGGCGGCAUGCUUUACACAUGCAAGUCGAACGGCAGCGCGGGCUUCGGCCUGGCGGCGAGUGGCGAACGGGUGAGUAAUAUAUCGGAACGUACCCAAGAGUGGGGGAUAACGUAGCGAAAGUUACGCUAAUACCGCAUACGAUCCAAGGAUGAAAGCAGGGGACCGCAAGGCCUUGUGCUCCUGGAGCGGCCGAUAUCUGAUUAGCUAGUUGGUGAGGUAGAGGCUCACCAAGGCAACGAUCAGUAGCUGGUCUGAGAAGACGACCAGCCACACUGGAACUGAGACACGGUCCAGACUCCUACGGGAGGCAGCAGUGGGGAAUUUUGGACAAUGGGGGCAACCCUGAUCCAGCAAUGCCGCGUGAGUGAAGAAGGCCUUCGGGUUGUAAAGCUCUUUUGUCAGGGAAGAAAAGGCUGUGGCUAAUAUCCACAGCUGCUGACGGUACCUGAAGAAUAAGCACCGGCUAACUACGUGCCAGCCGCCGCUGUAA